AUCCAGCUGACGAGUCCCAAACAGGACGAAAGGUUAAUCGCGGAU
Molecule: non-coding RNA, 45 nt
Filed under: Schistosoma haematobium
Lineage: Eukaryota; Metazoa; Platyhelminthes; Trematoda; Strigeidida; Schistosomatidae
Source: RNAcentral